UACGUAGGGUGCAAGCGUUGUCCGGAAUUAUUGGGCGUAAAGAGCUCGUAGGCGGUUGGGUAAGUCGGGUGUGAAAACUCCAGGCUCAACUUGGAGACGCCACCCGAUACUGCUCUGACUUGAGUUCGGUAGGGGAGUGGGGAAUUCCUGGUGUAGCGGUGAAAUGCGCAGAUAUCAGGAGGAACACCGGUGGCGAAGGCGCCACUCUGGGCCGAAACUGACGCUGAGGAGCGAAAGCGUGGGUAGCAAACAGG
This 254-nucleotide ribosomal RNA is filed under the name uncultured bacterium. RNAcentral's name for it is "partial 16S ribosomal RNA". It matches the Rfam family "Bacterial small subunit ribosomal RNA", at positions 524 to 776 of the family's 1533-position model. The record is from RNAcentral.